This is a non-coding RNA of Vicia faba (fava bean), 282 nucleotides long. NCBI's taxonomy places the organism in Eukaryota, Viridiplantae, Streptophyta, Magnoliopsida, Fabales, Fabaceae. The record is from the annotation of a GenBank genome assembly.
AUGGCCUUCAGCCACACUUUCUUCUUGAGAGCUUCACAAGUCGACUACGCAACCACCAGUUGCUUUUUGGAGCACCAAGAAAUAGGACUUUCAAGAUACAAACAAAAAUAUCUAGAAGUGUUUAUUCUGUCAACUCUCAGAGUCCCUUCAAUAUCUUGCAGCUUGUCAAACUCUGCAAAUCUCCUUGGUAUUUUUAUGAUUUUUUGUGGCCUCUGGACUUGUUCAGAAUCUCCUUCUGAUUCUGAAACUGUAUCUCCUUCUAUACUUUCUUUAGAAGAUUGA